This 2384-nucleotide long non-coding RNA is filed under the name Homo sapiens (human). Its description in RNAcentral is "non-protein coding lnc-PRPF18-7:4". The record is from RNAcentral. Lineage: Eukaryota; Metazoa; Chordata; Mammalia; Primates; Hominidae.
GGAGUCUAGAACCUUGGAGACCCAUCCAGUGGGAGACUCAGCCGCUGCUGAAGCCUUCAUCCAUGGUCAAGGGGAGGUACUCUUAUUUUCCCUGGAUGAAGACAAAAGGACUGAGGUACAGAGACUGAAGUAACUCACUCAGGGUCACAAUGAGAGGCUCCAGUGUCCAUUGACCGCCUCCCUCUUCUGUGUCACUACAACGGAUCAAGUGCUGAGCCAAGAACUGGGGAUGCAAGAUAACUUUUGCUUAUUGGAAGAGUUUUCUUUUGUUCCUCAAACUCAGCUCCUCUCUGUGAUGAGGCGUCUGUGGUGAAGUGAAAGACUGCUGGCCUUAGCCCUGAGUCUGCAUGUGAAAAUGUCAUCACAAGGGGAAGUAGACCUGGCCCUCUUCCAGGGCAGGGAGGAAAACGCAGCCUGUGCUGCAUGGGAACUUCACGUGCUAAUUGGACAUCCCAGAAUCUCACUAAAUCUUUAUCAUAGCAAGCAUCAAUCACUCAAUCUUCAUCAUAGCGAGCAUCAGUCAUAGAGAAUGUCAAGUCUGCUGAACACCUACCCAACAGGAUGAAACAAUGUUUGUGAAAGUUCUUUGUAAACAAGACGUGUGCACCUUCCCUUUUCUUCCAGUCUCAAUUCUGCACACGGUUUUCCUGUUGUCUCAUUUGCCACAACAGCCUCCUGCACUUCACCGUCUAGCCAUCUGCCUCUUCCUGUCUGUUCUGCUAUAAGGUCCACGUUUCAUCUGCCUGAAUUCCUUAAAGGCCAUCCGGCUUAGCCACCUAUUUUGAGUGGUAAACAGACUUCUUCUUGAACCUUUGAGAGCUCCCUGUUUAGUAGAUUUCAUUUGAGUAACUAUGAGUACAGAAUUAAUUCACCCAGGUUAAGACCCCCUAUCCCCAUCAAAUGAAAAUCACACAUGACAAAGGAAGCUAGACCUUAUCCUCUUGCAGGGCAGGGAGGAAAAUGCACCAUCUGCUGCAUGGAAACCUCAUGUGAAAAUCAGGUGUCCCAGGAUCUCACUCGAUCUUUCUGGCAAGGAUCUAGCCAUAGAGAAUGUCAAAUAUGAAUGACCCAUGUGGAAGAUUUGUCGGUAUCUGUGUCAGAAGGCCUUGCCUUAUGGACAUCAAGGACAAGGCCCAUCAGCAUCCUUGCAGGCUGUUCAGCUCGUCAUCCACAGACAGAGAUCUUGCUCACAAGCUGCAGAUGGAUUUUAUGCCUCCACACGAAGGUCCUUCACAUCUGGUCUUGAUAUGAUUUGUCCCCAAAAGAACUCCACUUGCCCUUCCCAGCAUGAGGCCAAAUCAGGUCAUCAGUGGCUAUAGCCUGGCUAAAGGCUAUUCUACAUGGUAGUAAUGGCUUAUUGUGUGUGCUAUUAGGAGUGAUGUCAUGCCCAGGGUUUGAGGAAUAACGCUCCUGCAAGAUGGCCAUGUGAUUAAACGGGUAAUAAGCUGACCUCUGUGAAGCUGGCUGUGUAGAUUGGCUUUCAAGAUCAUUUUGCAAAGCCCGUUUUCAUGUGCUGUCAGUCGUGGAUGGAUUUUGAUAACUAGCAUUGAUUUGCCAUGUUUAUGAAGUGCAGUUUCACAGGGUAAACUGUGUAAUUGCACCUGGAAUGGCAAUAUAAAUAACGUCCUUAUCUAUGGUAUUGACUGCCCAGGAUUCGCUGAAUAUAUAUAGCAUACCUCCAAACAGAGCCAAUAGCUGUUGACUCAAUUUUUACUAGGCUUAGCUCUCAAAUUUCAGGUGUCUUAAUAAGGAUUGGGUGGCGAAUGAUCAACUUUUACAUCUGUUUCUAAUUUCCAUGCUUCCUUUUCCAGGAGGAGAAAUUUAACAAGCAAUUUUCUUCAACAGGGGAAUAGUUCAUCUUGGUUCAAGUAAUCCCUCUGGUGCUGCAAAGGACAAUGGCUUUCUUUAGGGCCAUCAGAUUCCUUUCGCUCCUGUGCCCAGGGACAUAUCACUCCCAGGGUCAACUGUCCAUUUGCUCAUGGACAUCUGGGAUGAGUCACGUGGUAUAUUUUCCCAAAGUGAGGAAGGAAGAAAAGAAAGCAUCUUGAAUCUGUUAGAAAGACAGUCUCUUUGAAGCCUCAUGUCAUGGGAAUAUGGUUUAUGUUGAAUGUGUUCUAGAGUAUACCCAACAUCCUGUAAAUCAAAACACCAAAGUGCAAGCUGUGACCAGAAUGGGUAAAACACCUCCAGUGGACAAAUCCUUAGAGGUAGAUGAGGAUGAGUAGGGGAUUCUAACUGCUCUUGCUUGCUGGGGGUACUCCAUUCUAAGAAUUUUAAACCUCUAUGGCACGAAUGCAGUUAAUAGACUGUUGACAUGAAAAUUACAUGAGAUAGCACAGUUCUGUCUGUGAGAACAAGGGUGGUAAGAAAUGACAUUAAGGCAG